Molecule: long non-coding RNA, 331 nt
Organism: Vicia villosa (hairy vetch)
Lineage: Eukaryota; Viridiplantae; Streptophyta; Magnoliopsida; Fabales; Fabaceae
Exons: 3
Source: RefSeq, a predicted model, not a curated record
UAUGUGGACUGUUUAUUUGCCGUGACAGUUUGAAAUUGAAUUGGUUGCAGGGUAAGUGGGUGUUUGGCUUAGAUGUAUAAUCCUUGGGUCAGGUCUUUGAAUAGGCUGAUUGUGUUUGAGUCUUGAGGUGGUUUAUUUGAAUUCUUUUGGCUUAAGCGCAAGUUCGGUUAGCAGCUGUUUGGAUCGGAUUGAAAGUGAGCGAAUUGGCUACGGGAUGUAUAUGUAUGAAUGUAGUGUGGAUAUGGUUGAUAUGUCUUGGAAAUGUAUGAAAGUGGUAUUGGACAGAGGCAAUUAUUUGGUUUUGGAAUGCUGAUUGGAAAGAUGUAUGGUG